UAUUUAGUUAAUUUACUGUGGUAUCAACCUAAUCAAAAUCUUCAUAUGUGAAGUGCUUUCAGACUUCAUUGGUGCUGAAUUUUUGAGUAUAUUAUCACCAGAAUGUCAUACAAAAUAACUUGGGCAGAAAACAGAUACCUUUGGACAAUGGUUACACCAAGGGCAGUGAAUGCAUUUCUCUUUUCACCAUUGGUCAGCUGACUUGCCUUCCCAGUUGCAAUGAAGAAGAAUGAUUAGUCAAAAGUAUUAAAAGGAAACAAGCAACAGUUAUGGUUCGUUUGGUUGGAGCCCUUUGUCAACAAAGGGAGAGAGGACCAAGUCAAACGUAUCCGAAAGGUACGGGGUUACAAGAUGGAAGCUUAGCCACGGUUUAUUGUCAAACAAAUAGACACGGCUGUCGGAGCCCUUUGUGAGCAGGGCAUUUGACGAACCGGGCACUCAAAUGACGCUAAAGACUUUUCACUUUGCUGGUGUGGCACCGAUGAACAUCACACAGGAACUUUCUGGAUUAAGGAAAUCAUUAACGCCCUAAAGGCCUUUAGUACACCUGUUAUCUCCACCCAGCUUCUAAUUGUUGACGACCCGUAAUAUGCGCGACAAGUUAAAGGAAGGAUCGAAAACAAUUUUCGGAGAAAUAAAUUAAACAAUUUUUCGUUAUCAAUAUUUUUCAAUUGUCUUUUUAUGUGACGGGAUAUUUCGAUGAAGUAUAACUGCCUGAUUAUGUUUAAUGUCGAUUAAAUUAGACAUUAACCGAAUCCGCUUGCUAAAACUCGAGGUGGCUGCAAAUUCUAUCUAGUAGAGCCUAUGUAUACAUGUAAACUGAAAAUAAAGCCUGCUUUCAUCGAAGUCAUUAGUGAAACAAUACAAAUUGUAAAGCUGUGCUCCAUCUGCAAAAUCGUCAAUGUAUCUGUGAGGCAGUACCUCAAAGAACAAUUGCCUAGGGACUUCAUACAGGCUGCAUAUAGCCGAGCUGUCAUCAACAUCGACGAUACAAGGAAACCGCAUAGAUAGUGUGUAGGUUUUGAUUUCUAUGUCAGCUGCAGCAAUGACAAUGACCAUGACUAACAUGUGGAAAUGAUAGCAAACGGCGUAAACAUUUUUAGAAGAAAACAGACAGUUUUCAAUUUUUUUUUUAAAUUCCCAAUGUCAAGGUUUAUCUGUUAACUGCUUCAAAUUGGCUCAGAAUUAGGCAGCAAUUUUGGAAGUUGUUGCUUUCUCAGUAUGAAUGAGUUUCAAUGUUGGUGUUGCAGGUGUUACCCAUGUUACGUUGACUGUUUGGAUUCCUAUUCAUUAACAUUUCAAAACCAAAUUCAUCUUCUUAAAAUUGACUCGAAAGGAUUUGGAUCAUUCUAGGAACAUAUCUAUCAAAGAUGCAAAGCUCUAAUGGGAUUAAUUUAUCCGUCAAGUACGUUUUCAUUUGCAGUCUGUAUGUCCUUUCCGAAGGCUCUGCCAGAAGAAUAUGCUAAAUAAUGAAUUGAUGAAUCGCGUAAGUUACACGAGCAAGAAUUUUUAUGCCUAACGAUGUUUUAUUUUCUUAAUAUAGAUUAAUGAUAAACUUGGAUCUGAAAAGGUGCCUUGGUUGGGGCAAGAUACCGAAUAAAGUUUAAUGAUUGGAUGCACUA
Daphnia magna is the source of this 1622-nucleotide long non-coding RNA. RefSeq lists it as uncharacterized. The transcript has 9 exons. Lineage: Eukaryota; Metazoa; Arthropoda; Branchiopoda; Diplostraca; Daphniidae. The record is from RefSeq and is a predicted model, not a curated record.